Long non-coding RNA from Oxyura jamaicensis (ruddy duck), 4533 nucleotides. RefSeq lists it as uncharacterized. NCBI's taxonomy places the organism in Eukaryota, Metazoa, Chordata, Aves, Anseriformes, Anatidae. The record is from RefSeq and is a predicted model, not a curated record. The transcript is spliced from 3 exons.
UGGUCAGUGAACCUUGAUACUGUGUUGAAUUUGAUGGACUUCUUAAUCUUGAUUGUUAACUGGAAUCUCUGUAAGGGACUUAAUUAUCCAGUUAUAAUAGAUACUGAGAAGUUAAUUAUUAACUCAGAAGUAUGCUGUUUAACCAGAUGUCUUGUUAAUUAUGCUAACUCCACAUUGGCAUUUGCUUUGAUUUAUACACUCUAGGUUUGGUUUGCCUUUUCGGUUUCCAGUCCACACAGCUUUAUUGCAGCUGGGCACUCUGUCUUUCUAAGCAUCCAAAGGAACACACAAGGUCACCUUGGGAGGCUGCUGUGAACCACAGGACGAAUUCUGCCUCAGAGCAUCCCUGUAUACCCUGGUACUCAAAGCCAGGUGCUCCCUUCUAACUGUUAGGACGUUCUCUAAUGCAGCUAAUUGCUGCUUGAUUUAUGAGUAACUAUUCCUCCUAGUAGGAAGGGCUGUUUCUUUUCAUACCCUUAAGUGCAAUACAAAGGCCAAAUCUCCACCCAUUCUGAACAUAGCAUUCCUUCCAAUCUACCUUAUAAAAAUGUGAGGUUACGCUGGAGGCAGACCAGAAUACUGCCUCAGCCUACUUGAAGACACCUCCUAACUUGUUGUAAGGAUGAAGCUCCUGGCACUCUAUGGCUUUUUGUUUGUCUUACUUUUGUGCCUCAAUGCCUUUACUGCAGAAGGUCGGAAGGUUAAAAAAGUCUGCUGUUCAAAACUAGCCAAAGUCAAUAAAAAGGCAAAUAAAGGUGUGCCUUCCAAGACGGCUCUAAUGCAAAUAAGGAAAUACUGCAAGCCUUGUGCUCAGCCAGACCCUCUGCGGAUUCCUGGACCCCUUCCACAGUUAAAAUAAGACUGAGCAGGGUGAAGAAGAGCAUCUACCUGCCAGCACAUCUCCCAGUGCUUCACUUGGUUGAGGGCCUUCCUUUCACAGAUAGGGCCUGAAUGUAUGCUACUCUUAUUUUAGUUGGAAAGGGCUUCAGUCAAUAAUGCUUACUCAGUCCCCCAGGCUCCUUUAUCUUGUUAACAUUAACCUGGCAUCUAAAGAGACAGGUAAAGCUGUCUGGCUGCUACUGGAUUUUUUCAAUUGCGUGUUCCUCUGUACCAAACCGGGAUCAAGCUCCUCAGACAAGACAGUGGAGAGCUGGCUGUAUCACUUUGGAUUGCAUUUUUAGAUGGGAAAAGGCUGAAGUUACUGUUUCUAGUUAUCAGUAUAUAUAUAUAUAUAUAUAUAUAUAUAUAACCUCUUAUAUGAAUAACUUCUUGUAUGUAGACAAAUGGAUUUUCUUUGUAGCUAGGCACAUGAUGAUUUUUUUUCCUGCAACAGUUGCUCUCAGUGCUUAAAAUCCACUUGGAAGUGGAUUUCUAUCAAGUGAGAAUGAAUUUAUGGUUUAGAAAGGGCUGAGAAACUAGAUUCAAAUAGUUGGGAAGGACCAGAGGACCAGAUUCAAGUACAGUGGAAAGCUUUUUAAUGUUUGGCGAGGGUGAGGGGGAAACGACACCUGUUCUUUAACUUCCCAGAAGAAUAAUGUCAUCAGGUGGUUAUUAAAAAACAUACUGGAAAGGUGCUAAGGCUAGUCAGAUUUUAUUUUUUUUUUCCUCCUGAAGCCAGAAGGCAAUUGUUCUUUCAAGGCACUUGAGUUGUGUGAUCACCUCAAUAAACAAAACUCAUUGGAGUAUGAAAUUAAACAAAUGUUAAGAAUAAUACCAAAGGGCUGAAUAAAAGAGAAACAGAAAUGCUCCCUGCUAAUAUCAUUAGCAGUCACUGGGGUCUUUUCUCUGGUAUCUCCUGUCCUUUUUCUAGCUGUCUCCUGCAUAUGCUAUUUCUAUGCCCGGGCUGAGUCCUUAACCCAGAAUUAAUUGGAGGUUUAUGAAUUUGGCUUUCCUUUUAAUGAACAUGACAAGGUGUGGAAAGCUUUUUCUGCUCUUGGGCAAAUAUCACUUUGAACACAGUAAUUUUAUUCUCAAUGCUCAGAGUAAUGCUGUUUCCCUUAGGUAAUUUCCUGUACGAUAAAGAUGGUCUCAGUGCCCUUUAGUAAUCUGGGGGAGUUGAAUGGGGAUGGUCGUAUGCCUGUUGUAACCACCUCCAGGCAAAUGUGUUUCCCAUGAGUCAAAUUAAUGGGAACAUAUAUGUGGCUGUGCUUUCUCGUGGUCAGUGUUCUAUUGUACUGAACAAUUGAAGCAAUUUCUAGGUUUCCUUUGUGCUUGUUAUUACUUUAUUUUCUUACUGCUCUUGUGAUUAGAUAGAUCUGACCCUCAACUUCCUAGUUUUGAGUUGACCAUGCAAAGCAUUUUCAUAUCAAGCAUAAAAAGGAUCCUCCAGUCCUCACAAGAUCUGAGCCAAGAGGCUGGUGAAUGAGCUGUUUGAUAAUUCUGCUGCUGAUCGCUGGGCAAACAUUUAUUUUUGUCUUUUGUAGCUCACAGAAUGUAUCUCAGGAAUAUGAACGAUGAGUAGAUGUGAAAAGUAUUUUGGAUAUUAAAAGUUUGCAUCAGGAAUUUAUACAGAGCUGUAAACACAUGGCCAUAUCUUCUGAAGCAUUACUAAGAGGUGUGAGGAUUCUCUUCUCUAACGUGAGCUUAAGCCCAUUUGUUUUAUAUUCAAAAAAUGCUGUAAGAUUAUCUUGGCCCCAUACCCUUCAAACAGUGUGCUCCACACACUAAUCCUCCUUCAGGCAAAACGUUCUCUCUGACAGCAAAAGCAUAAAGUACCAAAGACCAUCAACACUGUUACAGAAAUACUGUGUCUUUGGAGGGAUGCAGGGACAUCAUCCUAGGUACUUGAAUAUUUUUAUUCACCUAGUUUCUCAAACUAGCCUCAAGGUAAGGUUGAGGGCUAUUCAGAUUUAAAAAGUAAGUUACUUCUGUGAGGUCCUAGUCCUGACUGAACUAAACUAAACUAAAGCAGGAUUCCUCAAGCUAUUUCACCACUCAUUGUGACUGUUGACCAAACAGGCUCUUUGCCUGGCCUACAAGUAUCAGGAGGUCAUGCAUCAGCCUCUUGCAAGUGCUUCCUCACCAAAGUUGGACUUCUAUUUCCUGAACCAUUUUCCCUGUGUGGUAGAAGAGAGCUACCAUCUGGUCAUGGCUUUGUUUACAGGCACCUGUUCUUCAUUUUCUUUUCUUUCACUACAAUGUAUAUUUGUUUGGCAUUACCAGAGGAGAAACAUAUUACUCAGUGGCUUUUCAAAGUACACAGGCUAUAUGCUUACAUCAAGUAGUAAACUCAGCUUGUCCAAGCUGACAAAUGUAUUUGUCUGUAUCUUGUGGUUUUCUGUGUUUGUUUGGCUGUCAAGCAUGAAAAUUGCCCAGCCUUCAACUUCCAAUAAAGAUAUUUUGACAUAUCUCUGUGCCUGCCAGAAUAGAUGUUGGAUCCUUGUCUGACCUUGUCAACUAAGUGAGCCAGGUGGCCCCUCGCUUUGUUUUGAGAUUAAUACCCUCAGCUGACACCAGAUCAGUCUGUCUUGUAUAGUACUGUGACUGUGAAUUGUCAGGGCACAGGAAAAAUGAUCACCCCUGACAGGGGGAAUGUGGGGGCGCAGGCAGUUUGUGGGUUUUUCCUUCAAAGUUCAUAUUAGAAGGCAUAAUUUGUACAAAUAACAUAAAAUUUUAUGACCCCCAAAAGUGUAAUGAGGCUAUUGCUCUUGGCUCUUCAGCCCUCUAGACUGUCUGGCCCACAACUGAUGCCAGGGUCUGGGUGUAGCUGAAUUCAGGAUUUUAGCUCUGGAAAAUUGCUGUUAAGCUGAAGUACGGGCCACUCACAACUUUUUGUGAUUGCAUCUACUAAGGAAAACCAAAAUCCUGUAUGGACAGUGUCACUGCAGAUAAUAAAGUCAACUGACACAUGAAAACAGAGGGAUAAACUUUUGCUCUUUACAUACUCUUAUGAAGAAAUUCUUGCUAGAGCUGAGUGGAAGACUCCCGGUGAUUUAAGUGUUCACUGAAUCAAGUCUGAAGACCUGUUGCUUGGUUCAGUUUUGUCCAGCAACUGCAACCUCCUAGGCAGAUUUAGCAGUGUUGUCAGGUGGUGAAUACAGAUUGGAUUGUACCAACUUCAGACUGAAGUUUGCUUAAAGAAGAGUUGGGCUUAAGUUUAGCCAUGACUUUCUUCUUCUUCUCAGUUAAGGUGAGAGGAAGACCUUCUUACAUGUCAGUCUUUUUUUUGGCAUCAAAUGAGCUUUUCCUCAUUAGAUCUGAGCAGUUGUCUCUGUCACUGCUAACUUCUCUGCAGGACUCAUCGAGCAUUUAUUUGUUUAAAUGCUGGUGGAGAACAAAGAACCCUACAUUAAAUGACAUGCACAAGAGUGUUGAUUCCAAUCCAUGUGUGUCUUUGGUUCCCAGUAGCCAUUUAGCAUGAUAAGGCUUAGGGCGGGCAUUGGAUGGUUGUCUAAGUUGCUUUCAAGUUCAUAACAGUCAUCAUACUUUCCUUUAAUUUUAUAGCAGGCCAUGGAGAAAUUCACCAAAAUUGUUCUGUUCUGAGUCUCUGCUAGAAAGAGUGUCUGGGUGUGGAUUUGUCUAUGCCAUCAUUCA